This 399-nucleotide ribosomal RNA is filed under the name uncultured bacterium. RNAcentral describes it as "bacterial SSU rRNA". It matches the Rfam family "Bacterial small subunit ribosomal RNA", at positions 30 to 429 of the family's 1533-position model. The record is from RNAcentral.
AUUGAACGCUGGCGGCAGGCUUAACACGUGCAAGUCGAGCGGAGAGAGGUAGCUUGCUACUGAUCUUAGCGGCGGACGGGUGAGUAAUACUUAGGAAUCUGGCUAUUAGUGGGGGACAACAUUUCGAAAGGGAUGCUAAUACCGCAUACGUCCUACGGGAGAAAGCAGGGGAUCUUCGGACCUUGCGCUAAUAGAUGAGCCUAAGUCGGAUUAGCUAGUUGGUGGGGUAAAGGCCUACCAAGGCGACGAUCUGUAGCGGGUCUGAGAGGAUGAUCCGCCACACUGGGACUGAGACACGGCCCAGACUCCUACGGGAGGCAGCAGUGGGGAAUAUUGGACAAUGGGGGGAACCCUGAUCCAGCCAUGCCGCGUGUGUGAAGAAGGCCUUAUGGUUGUAAA